GAAAUGCGAUACGUAAUGUGAAUUGCAGAAUUCAGUGAAUCAUCGAGUCUUUGAACGCACAUUGCGCCCCCUGGUAUUCCGGGGGGCAUGCCUGUCCGAGCGUCAUUGCUGCCCUCAAGCACGGCUUGUGUGUUGGGCCCCCGUCCCCCUCUUUUUGGGGGGGACGGGCCCGAAAGGCAGCGGCGGCACCGUGUCCGGUCCUCGAGCGUAUGGGAAGCAACUCUUUUUGUCACCCGCUCCUGUAGGUCCGGCCGGCGGCCUGCCCAACCCUCAAUCAAUCUUUUUAACCAGGUUGACCUCGGAUCAGGUAGGGAUACCCGCUGAACUUAA
This 330-nucleotide unclassified non-coding RNA is filed under the name uncultured Aspergillus. Its description in RNAcentral is "sequence contains ITS1". The stretch from base 1 to 105 matches the Rfam family "5.8S ribosomal RNA", at positions 50 to 154 of the family's 154-position model. The record is from RNAcentral. Lineage: Eukaryota; Fungi; Ascomycota; Eurotiomycetes; Eurotiales; Aspergillaceae.